AUCCCACUGCCCUCUGUCGCGUCUCCCCACUCCUCCCCACCUCCUCAUCUCCAGCCAUUUGACAACCUUUGUUGGUGCAACCCGGACACAACAAAGUGGCUUAUGUUUUGGUUUGCUCCCUCACCUCCUUUCUCUUCAAAGCCCUUCAGGGCAGCUGGGAGUUUCCUGGGGAAAGAAGCAUAAUAAAUGAGAACAUGAAUAAUUAAUGCCACCUCUUAUUAUUUCUCCAGUGUUCAGCACUGAUGGAACUGCCCUCAGGGGGCAAGUGGGCAUUUGCAUUUUUUCCUGGGAGAGGCGGGAGCUCCCAGCUUGGGCCUCAGAUGCCAGCGAUUUAGUUCAGCCUGAAUCCAGGAAGGGAGCACAGCGUGUUCCACAGGUGGCUGUUAAACUCCAUAAUAUGUAGGUGGAGGCCUAGUGACCCUCCCAGGAUGAUUUAAAAAAUAAUAUCAAUUCAAUAUAUUUGUUAGUUCCUCCAUGAAGCCUGUUUGCACACACAGUUCAUGCUUUCCUGAGAAUUCAGAGCAGUAGAUAGAGGAAGUAAGAUAUAGUAUUGACCCAAUGUUGCAGGUGAACAGGCUGAAGAGGCGAUGAGCAUUCCCAUGUGGUGGGCAGUGGGCUGCCUGGGCUUCACAGCUCUUCUCCAUGGCUCCCUUGCCUUGUAGAGUCAGGGAGCUGUGAUACUCACUGAGUUUAGAUACUCACUAGGGGUCAAUCUGCUGGGCAAAUGCCCAGCAAAUGUAGAUGAGCACAUACUCUUAUGUUCAGUUCUCUGCUGCAAACCACAGGAGACCUGGAAGUACACAGCAUUGUCCUGUGGAGGCAUCCUGGGAUGGUGGAAAAGAUCAUAACAAUAAUAGCAAUAGAGAGUGGUGGCUACGGAGGUGGGAACCAUGGCAGGACAAGCAUUUAGAAAGUUUCUUCCACUUGAUCGAGUAUUGGUAGAAAGGUGUGCAGCUGAAACUGUAACCAAAGGAGGCAUCAUGCUUCCAGAAAAAUCUCAAGGAAAAAUAUUGCAAGCAACAGUAGUGGCUGUUGGGUCAGGCUCUAAAGGAAAGGGUGGAGAGAUUCAACCAGUUAGUGUAAAAGUGGGAGAUAAAGUUCUUCUCCCAGAAUAUGGAGGCACUAAAGUAGUUCUAGAUGACAAGGAUUAUUUCUUAUUUAGAGAUGGUGACAUUCUUGGAAAGUAAGUAGACUGAAAUAAAUCACUAUUGAAAUGGCAUUGACAUGAAGCUGCCCAUUCCACUGAAGUUCUGAAAUCUUGCAUCAUGUAAAUAAUUUCCGUGUCUCUCUUUUAUAAUAAACUGAUGAUAUCUAAACUGUUGACAUCCCAUGUCAAAAGUUUAGUUUCACUGUACUGAUAUAAACAUUUCCAAAUAAAGAUAUGUAAAUGAAAAAAAA
Molecule: RNA transcript, 1398 nt
Organism: Otolemur garnettii (small-eared galago)
Lineage: Eukaryota; Metazoa; Chordata; Mammalia; Primates; Galagidae
Gene name: 10 kDa heat shock protein, mitochondrial pseudogene
Exons: 1
Source: RefSeq, a predicted model, not a curated record